This 595-nucleotide ribosomal RNA is filed under the name Aspergillus flavus. RNAcentral's name for it is "eukaryotic LSU rRNA". The stretch from base 213 to 366 matches the Rfam family "5.8S ribosomal RNA". The record is from RNAcentral. Lineage: Eukaryota; Fungi; Ascomycota; Eurotiomycetes; Eurotiales; Aspergillaceae.
UCCGUAGGUGAACCUGCGGAAGGAUCAUUACCGAGUGUAGGGUUCCUAGCGAGCCCAACCUCCCACCCGUGUUUACUGUACCUUAGUUGCUUCGGCGGGCCCGCCAUUCAUGGCCGCCGGGGGCUCUCAGCCCCGGGCCCGCGCCCGCCGGAGACACCACGAACUCUGUCUGAUCUAGUGAAGUCUGAGUUGAUUGUAUCGCAAUCAGUUAAAACUUUCAACAAUGGAUCUCUUGGUUCCGGCAUCGAUGAAGAACGCAGCGAAAUGCGAUAACUAGUGUGAAUUGCAGAAUUCCGUGAAUCAUCGAGUCUUUGAACGCACAUUGCGCCCCCUGGUAUUCCGGGGGGCAUGCCUGUCCGAGCGUCAUUGCUGCCCAUCAAGCACGGCUUGUGUGUUGGGUCGUCGUCCCCUCUCCGGGGGGGACGGGCCCCAAAGGCAGCGGCGGCACCGCGUCCGAUCCUCGAGCGUAUGGGGCUUUGUCACCCGCUCUGUAGGCCCGGCCGGCGCUUGCCGAACGCAAAUCAAUCUUUUUCCAGGUUGACCUUGGAUCAGGUAGGGAUACCCGCUGAACUUAAGCAUAUCAAUAAGCGGAGGA